GUCGAACGAGGGUAGCAAUACCUUAGUGGCGAACGGGUGAGUAAUAUAUCGGAACGUGCCCUAGAGUGGGGGACAACCAGUCGAAAGAUUGGCUAAUACCGCAUACGAUCUAUGGAUGAAAGUGGGGGACCUUCGGGCCUCAUGCUCCUGGAGCGGCCGAUAUCUGAUUAGCUAGUUGGUAGGGUAAAAGCCUACCAAGGCAUCGAUCAGUAGCUGGUCUGAGAGGACGAUCAGCCACACUGGGACUGAGACACGGCCCAGACUCCUACGGGAGGCAGCAGUGGGGAAUUUUGGACAAUGGGGGAAACCCUGAUCCAGCAAUGCCGCGUGAGUGAAGAAGGCCUUCGGGUUGUAAAGCUCUUUUGUCAGGGAAGAAAAGGCUAUGGCUAAUAUCCAUGGCUGAUGACGGUACCUGAAGAAUAAGCACCGGCUAACUACGUGCCAGCAGCCGCGGUAAUACGUAGGGUGCGAGCGUUAAUCGGAAUUACUGGGCGUAAAGGGUGCGCAGGCGGUUGUACAAGACGGAUGUGAAAUCCCCGGGCUUAACCUGGGAAUGGCAUUCGUGACUGUACGGCUAGAGUGUGUCAGAGGGGGGUAGAAUUCCACGUGUAGCAGUGAAAUGCGUAGAUAUGUGGAGGAAUACCGAUGGCGAA
Molecule: ribosomal RNA, 653 nt
Filed under: uncultured bacterium
Lineage: Bacteria
Description: bacterial SSU rRNA
Rfam family: Bacterial small subunit ribosomal RNA
Source: RNAcentral